UACGUAGGGUGCGAGCGUUGUCCGGAAUUAUUGGGCGUAAAGAGCUCGUAGGCGGUGUGUCACGUCGGCCGUGAAAACCUGCAGCUUAACUGUGGGCGUGCGGUCGAUACGGGCAUCACUGGAGUUCGGCAGGGGAGACUGGAAUUCCCGGUGUAGUGGUGGAAUGCGUAGAUAUCGGGAGGAACACCAGUGGCGAAGGCGGUUGCCUGGAGCUUUGCUGACGCUGAGGCGCGAAAGCGUGGGGAGCGAUCCGG
Molecule: ribosomal RNA, 254 nt
Filed under: uncultured bacterium
Lineage: Bacteria
Description: partial 16S ribosomal RNA
Rfam family: Bacterial small subunit ribosomal RNA
Source: RNAcentral